Long non-coding RNA from Rhincodon typus (whale shark), 906 nucleotides. RefSeq lists it as uncharacterized. NCBI's taxonomy places the organism in Eukaryota, Metazoa, Chordata, Chondrichthyes, Orectolobiformes, Rhincodontidae. The transcript has 2 exons. The record is from RefSeq and is a predicted model, not a curated record.
AUUAAGACUUGCCUGCUGAAGCAAUGCUCUGAAGAAAAGGAGUUAAUUGCAGGAAAAAGCUACUUUUUAAACACACAGCUAACCCUAAAUGUAACAAGGAACAAAGAAGGUAUUUUUAGUGGGAAGACCAGUAGAGGACUUGAGGUCUCUGAAAGUAAAAUUAACGUUGGGGAAGAAAGAAUCUAAAGAAUUAUCAAUAAUGUCACACCACAAAGUUGAAAGAAAGAAAACUGUAUAAGAAUCCAACAUUAGAACAACUCAACAGCAGAGCUUCGAAGAACAGAAGGACUGAACCCUGGAGACUUCCAGAGCCAGAUCACAGUUUCUUGAAAUCCUGGCCAGAUUUCACCAUUACUCGGGUAAUAGCUAAGCUGGGUUGCAGAUUUUACUGACCUCAUUUACAGAAAGUAGACUGGCAAAGUUUUUGCGGUGAAGUGGGAGCAGCUCCAAGCAAGUGCCCAGCCUAUCGAAAACAAAACCUUGGACAUUUCCCUUUUCCUACUCAGCUACAAUGAUGAUAAACUAAAGCAUGUGAAGAUCAUAGUGCAGCUAGGAAGUUGCCGACACACUGAAGUAUGCGCAAAAUCGUCAGAAGAUGGGAAAAAGGAAACAAUUUAUGAGCCUUCUGGAACGCUAACAAAAUUUAAACAUAUAUGUAGUCAAUGUUACAAUUAUAAACAAACCCCAAUAUCAUUGUUGGCUCUCAGCACUGAAGUAAUACCAGUAUGUUCUUACUAUUAGUGUUUUUACUCUAUCAAAAUGAAAGAAAAUUGCAUUUACUUCACAGGCACAGACUUUUUUCAAACAAAAUGUCAUAAGAAAGACUCUAGUGAUUUAAAUACUCAAAAUUUCCUGAGCUUCAUUUGCAUCUCCUCAAUAAAUUUAACCUCAAACACUUAAACAGAA